UUUCCGUAGGUGAACCUGCGGAAGGAUCAUUAUUGGAUUUUGAAACUUCAGGCUGCUGCUGGCUCUCCUCGGAGGGCAUGUGCACGCUUGUUGUCCAUUAUUUCUCCCACUGUGCACAAAUUGUAGACCUUUCAGUAGGCCUAUGUUGUUUUUCACAAUCUCUGAAUGUAAUAGAAUGGUUUUGAAUCUUGGGGGAUACAAUACAACUUUCAGCAACGGAUCUCUUGGCUCUC
RNAcentral lists this unclassified non-coding RNA (233 nucleotides) under plant metagenome. Its description in RNAcentral is "partial contains small subunit ribosomal RNA, internal transcribed spacer 1, and 5.8S ribosomal RNA". The record is from RNAcentral.